RNAcentral lists this ribosomal RNA (240 nucleotides) under uncultured bacterium. RNAcentral's name for it is "partial 16S ribosomal RNA". It matches the Rfam family "Bacterial small subunit ribosomal RNA", at positions 94 to 334 of the family's 1533-position model. The record is from RNAcentral.
AGCGGCGGACGGGUGAGUAACGCGUGGGUAACCUGCCUCAUACAGGGGGAUAACAGUUGGAAACGGCUGCUAAUACCGCAUAAGCGCACAGUACCGCAUGGUACGGUGUGAAGAACUCCGGUGGUAUGAGAUGGACCCGCGUCUGAUUAGGUAGUUGGUGGGGUAACGGCCUACCAAGCCGACGAUCAGUAGCCGACCUGAGAGGGUGACCGGCCACAUUGGGACUGAGACACGGCCCAA